This is a long non-coding RNA of Neofelis nebulosa (Clouded leopard), 872 nucleotides long. RefSeq lists it as uncharacterized. Lineage: Eukaryota; Metazoa; Chordata; Mammalia; Carnivora; Felidae. The transcript has 4 exons. The record is from RefSeq and is a predicted model, not a curated record.
UUGCCACAAAUUCGGAUGGCAGAACCAUCAAGUCACAAUAUCCGGUGCUGGACAAUCACCCAUACUCAGAGGAAGGUCGGGCCCCACCAUAAUGCAUGUGAUGAGUCAUGCCAAACUGCACACAGAGAUACAGGUGAGGAGGAUAGAGAUCAGAGAAGUUAAGUAACUUGCCAAAUGUCACACAAUGAACAAGAGUCGCUAUCUGGACCUAAAUCCAUGUCUUUUCUAACAUCGACACCCAUGCUGUUGCAUGACAUCGCACUAAGGAACUACCUAACAAUGCCUGACAUCUACCAUGCUGGAAGCAAAGGUACAAGUCCGGAGGAGUCUGAUGUCAAUGCCAGGGAAAGUCCUCUACUGGCAAGUAUGUGACACUGGGAAGACAUCUGCCAACAUACAUUCCCAGCGCCUGAGGCCCAUGUCUUGACAUACUGAGCCAGUGACAGGAGGACACCAAUGAUGACGCAACGUCAGAUAACCAAUGGGAAUGAGAGAUGACUGGUAAACCAAGUAAGAAGGCACUGGCAGAGGCAGCAAAGAGGCGUGGUGCUUGCGACAAGGCUGUAGCUUGAAAAGAAAAGAGGCCGUACCUUCACAGCCACGUUCUAUCUGUCCACUCCGAUGGAGGGCAUCGUUGAUGAGGUCUGGCAGACGCCCAUUCAAAUCCACCGAGGCCAGACAUCCCUGAAAGCCAUCCCGGGAAGCCACCAAUUUUGGAAGGUUGCUGUACAUGCCUUGGGCCAGACCCGCCAUGUAGAGGUCACCUGCAAAAGAAAGGCUUGAGCUGAGAUACCUGGUAUAAACUAUGUGAAGUGUUCUACUCACCCCUUGACUAGCUCAACUGCAAUGAAGUCAUUGCCAUCACCACUGUU